Molecule: ribosomal RNA, 253 nt
Filed under: uncultured bacterium
Lineage: Bacteria
Description: partial 16S ribosomal RNA
Rfam family: Bacterial small subunit ribosomal RNA
Source: RNAcentral
UACGGAGGGAGCUAGCGUUGUUCGGAAUUACUGGGCGUAAAGCGCGCGUAGGCGGCUUUGUAAGUCAGAGGUGAAAUCCCGGAGCUCAACUCCGGAACUGCCUUUGAGACUGCAUCGCUUGAAUCCGGGAGAGGUGAGUGGAAUUCCGAGUGUAGAGGUGAAAUUCGUAGAUAUUCGGAAGAACACCAGUGGCGAAGGCGGCUCACUGGACCGGUAUUGACGCUGAUGUGCGAAAGCGUGGGGAGCAAACAGG